CACAACUAGCAGGAGAAAUUAUAAAAUUAGUUACUUUUUUUUACCUUAAACUAUGAAAGUUAAUUUGGUUCAGAUACCCAACUCAAAAAGUACAGAUGUCUAUAUUACAGAUUAUUUUCUUGCAGAGUGAUAUUUUAAGUGCUUUUUUCGGUAAUGUUGAGUAUGGCUUGCUGCUUAUGAAGUUCCAAAUUCACCAGAAGGGUUGAAUACAUAAAACCUUUUUUUUUUUUAUACUCUCUUCCUAAUAAUGUCUUGCUACUGAAAAGCAUGUCCAUGUGCUGUAGAGGAUAAGCAAUCAUCCCUUGUUUGUGGCUCUUCCUGCAUGAAUUGCUGCCCUUCUACUGUAGUUUAAGUUCCCAUUUCUUCCUUCCACUCAACUUUACAUUAUUAUGGUUGGAUACAGCACUGAGCUGGCUUCUUUAGCAAUACACUUUAAUGACUUGCCCUCCUUGUGAACAACUGCCAGCUUUCCAGGGCUGUGUCGGCCAUAGCAUAUCAUUUCUGCAAUAACAACAAAAAACAAAUUCCUUCUACUUUUCUUUGAAACUGAAACAUGGAUUUUCAUUAGCUGUAAGUCAUAAUCAUAACAAUUAACAUGAAUAAGCACAAGAUGUGUGUAUUGAAUCAUUAUAGUCUGGAUUUUGAAUUUAAUUAUUGAGAUAUUAGAAUUUUUCAAAAUGCACCUGGAUGUGCAUAAUUGUAUUAGUCAACAUUAACUGGGUAAAUUAAACUCUUGUUGGACCCCCAGGCCAAUCUGGGUCCCCAACAGUUGCUUAGCCCAGUAAUCCAUUGGGCUGCCCCUGAAUAAGAAAUAUACUUGAGAAGCAUCAAGUAAAUAUUUUAUUUUUAAACUUUCCAAAAUAUAAUGUGUCAAAAAGUGACAUGUGACUUCAAAAUGAAUGGCUUCACUAAGUGAUGUAGCAGAAAUGAUUGGUGUACAGAUUCUUAUUUUAGAAUAAAACAUUUGAUAUAUUUAAAAACUUUAAGAAGAUUGGUAGUCUUUUACUUUUUUUUUUUCAAGCCUUAUUUAAAGAAUCAAACUCUCGUUUGACUCGUCGGCAAUGAGACAGAUUCACUGACAGGCUGAACUCUCACAGAGGAGAGAAGGUUUGAGAGCUUUUGCCUUAGUUGUGUCUCACAAGACCGGCCCGUAGAAGGGAGAUGGCCUCAGCAUUUUUUUGCCCACACACUGAAAACGUAUUGUCCAAAUCACAAAACAUUGAGUGAGAUCAGCAGACUUGUCAAGAGGCCCUGGCUUGAAUAUGAAUGAUGAGAGAAGAGCAGGGUGGUCCUCGUGCUGUUUUGGUGUUAGGCAGGUGAACAUAAGCUUAACUGUCUCUGGCAGCUGUCCAUCGCCGAAUCAGCAGAGGUUACCGCUGUAGAAAAGAGAGCGAGAGGGAGAGAAAAACACAGCUAUUUAGCACUUUUAUGUAAAUUGGCUCUGGAAACUGAGAGAAAGCAUCUGCAGGCCCUAGUGUAAUUCUCAAAAUAUUUGUUUUUCAGUGAUUGCAAAUUUUAAGUGCUAAUAUGAAAUCAUGACUCUGUCUUCCUCAAAUUUGAUCAACUUCUUCUCUCCUGGUGAAUUGAAAAAUGCUGGAAGUUGUUUUUUUGAAGUUCUUGCAUAUAUAUAUAUAUAUAUAUAUAUAUAUAUAUAUAUAUAUAUACUGUAUAUAUUUCUGUCAAUCUGCUGAAAUUGAGACAUAACACCUCCCAUUCUUUCCUGUCCUUAACACAUGCACGCACGCUAGCUCAAUUCACUCAAGUGUCUGCAUAGUUCUUCGCAUUCAACUGGAUACAAUGAUGCACAAGAUGAAUAAAGUUAUCUCUGCAGCUGAAAGGGAUGUUGCCGGUGGGAGGGAACGGGGAGGUUCCCCCUGUGCUCCCGAGCCUGAAAAGAGCCAGGCUUUGAGGGCCGCUGCUGUAGAGGUCAGGGACCCAGCUGCUUUUAGGGCUGAAAGGGACACUGGCGGGCUGGACCGGCCGCGAACAAAAAAAAAAAAAAAAAAAACACACAAUCACGUCAAAUAAAGACAUCUCAGAUUGGAUGCUGACAGAUCCCUUCCCAAAGUCGCUGAACUCACUCAGCUCAAACUUUGCUCGGGUUUGUAUCAUGUUGCACAGUCUGAGUCCCACCUCACUUGAGCCUGACAUAUAAAUCUUAGAGCUUUUUUUUGUUUUAAUUUUGGAGUCUGAAAACAACAUUUCUACCCAGUUAAUUUUGGAGUGGACAUCCCUGUCUGAACGCACACUUUCUAACCAAGCAACCUUCCACCUCAGUUGGGUCUAUUUUGGUGAAGCAACUAAAAGGGACCUCCACUGUGGAUGAAAUUUAGCCACAAUCCCUCUGACCUUUUGGGUUCAACGUUUGUCUCCAGUCCAGUGACCACAAACAACUCCUGGAUUGCUGUAAAUGUCAGUGCAGCGGUGUCCCCGCCCUAUCCCCUGUGAACCACAGAGCUGCACUCAACCUGCACUAACAGGACAAUUUCAUGAGGGCUCCAUUAUCAGUUAGACCAGGUUUGAUAACUCAGGUUUCCUUCUAAUGAUGUCUCUAUAACCUGAAGAGCUAUCAUCAGUCAGGCAGUAAAGAGUCUCUUGUACUUUUUUUUUUCUUUUACUUUUAUCCAGCCAAAAAUAUCAUACGAGUCAAAGGUAGAAAUUAUUAAAAAUAAUUUUGACCUAUUUUGUGUACCACCCAGUGUUCACCAUCUAUCAUAAUUGUCAGAUGUAAUAGAUUGUAAUUUAUAUCCUGAAGACACUGGUUGUAAUGCAUUCCAUUUUGAAGCACUUUGGCUCACACUUCCCCCCACCCAUAAACAGACACGCUCCCUUUUCUCUGCUCCCUGGGCCUCCUGAGGUUGGUGUCUCUGCUUUAGAACUCCAUUGUUGCCUGCUGCUGGAUAAUGCCCUUAUUAAUUGUACCUCUUUGUAAGGUGUCAGCUGUAGCCUCAGAUUGAGAUGGAUGGAUCUCUGGAGUCUGCUUCCCUGGCCCUCCAUAGACUCUCUAUCUCUGCGCAACACACAGAUGCAACAGCAAGCUCUGCCACAUAUGACUAAAAGCCUUGAUAAAACAGGCAUUUUAAUUGUUGCACCAGAAAGGAAAAGGUCUCCAACUAAAACCUAAUAAAGGUAAUUUUACCUAUUUCUAAGGUGAGUUGGCGUCUUACGUAGGAUCCAUAACAAAGCUGAAUUAUAUCUAGAUUUCUUUUCUAUAUUGAUUAUUUCAGUUUAUUGCAGAUAUGCUGCUUAAUUAAGUGCAUUGAACCCUUUGUGAAUUUAGCUGCAUUGACAUCAAAUCCUCCAGCUCUCAUUAAAGGAAACAGAGUCAGUUUAAUUAAUGUAUAUUAAGCUCCACUGAUACUAUUUUUUUAGCUUUGAGUAAAGUGUGGUGGUGCCUCCGUUGGGUCCUAAAAAGAAAGGUUUGAUUGCUUCCUUAAGAAUAAGACCUUUAUUUUAUUAUUAUUAUUAUUAUUAUUAUUAUUAUUAUUGCUCCUUAAUCAUUUGCAGAUGUAUUAAUUAAAUUGCAAUAUAUUGAAAUGGGUGAAAUAAUAAAUAAGGAUUACUAACGGUAUCUCUCACAUUAGUUUGUUUCGAUUUAAGACAACCUACAGAAUAAUAGUAGUAGCUCUGUCUCCCUCAUGUUUUACUGCUAUGGUGUAAAAUGUGAUUGCUAUUUUUUCAAUUAAAAAAAUUUACUGUG
Long non-coding RNA from Xiphophorus hellerii (green swordtail), 3700 nucleotides. RefSeq lists it as uncharacterized. The record is from RefSeq and is a predicted model, not a curated record. The transcript has 3 exons. NCBI's taxonomy places the organism in Eukaryota, Metazoa, Chordata, Actinopteri, Cyprinodontiformes, Poeciliidae.